UUCCCCAUAAAAUGCGCACAUGUGGCAGCUCGUGCACAGUUAAUGUGUUGUCGGGCUCUUAAAGGGACAAUAUUUCGACCUAUCAGCAUCACACACAAUUACGAUAUAAAAGGUUAAAAUACAGAGGAGGCAGAGUUGUUAUGGUUUUCACCUGGGUCUGAAUAUUGAGGCCGGGGCUGAAGACAUACGAAGAUUCUUUACCAACUUCUACAUCCCAGAAGGUGGUGUGUGUAUAUACACUGCUCAAAAAAAUAAAGGGAACACCUAAACAGCACAAUGUAA
This is a long non-coding RNA of Oncorhynchus nerka (sockeye salmon), 282 nucleotides long. RefSeq lists it as uncharacterized. Lineage: Eukaryota; Metazoa; Chordata; Actinopteri; Salmoniformes; Salmonidae. The record is from RefSeq and is a predicted model, not a curated record. The transcript has 2 exons.